RNAcentral lists this ribosomal RNA (269 nucleotides) under Francisella tularensis subsp. holarctica. RNAcentral's name for it is "partial 23S ribosomal RNA". It matches the Rfam family "Bacterial large subunit ribosomal RNA", at positions 899 to 1164 of the family's 2925-position model. The record is from RNAcentral. Lineage: Bacteria; Pseudomonadati; Pseudomonadota; Gammaproteobacteria; Thiotrichales; Francisellaceae.
GGGGGACAGCACUGUUUCGACAAUGGGGGUUCUACGACCUUACUGACUCGAUGCAAACUCAGAAUACGAUGCAGUUCGCUCACGGGAGACACACUGCGGGUGCUAAGGUCCGCAGUGGAAAGGGAAACAGCCCAGACCGCCAACUAAGGUCCCACAGUCAUAGCUAAGUGGGAAACGAAGUGGGAAGGCCCAGACAGCCAGGAGGUUGGCUUAGAAGCAGCCACCCUUUUAAGAAAUCGUAAUAGCUCACUGGUCGAGUCGGCCUGCAC